UGGAAGUCUCAGCUAGAUCGGAUGCCU
RNAcentral lists this non-coding RNA (27 nucleotides) under Rattus norvegicus (Norway rat). The record is from RNAcentral. Lineage: Eukaryota; Metazoa; Chordata; Mammalia; Rodentia; Muridae.